UUCUUUGAGAUUUGCUCUCUAGCUGCUUGUUGAAUCAUACUUUGAAAGUUAUCACUGUUAUGUUUAUAUGUUAAAGUUCGCAAUAAAAAUGCAUUUUAAAAAAAGGUGGGGUGUAUUUUCUCUUCCCUUGAACAUGAGUAGACUGUUGUAACUGCCUUGACUAAGAGAAUGCAGCAGAAAUGACACUAUGUCACUUUUAAGGCUAGGUUACAAAAAAGGCAAUAUGACUUCCUCAUGACUCGCUCUCUCUCUCAGGAUUCUUGCCCUUGGAACCCAGCCACCAUUAAGCCCAGGCUACGGGGAGAGGUCAUGUAUGCACUGGCCGACAGUCCCAGUGGGGUCCAUGUGGUAACGAAUAAACCCUCAGAUGGUUUUCUCUCUGCCUUGAGUCUUCCAGGUAGGCCCCAGACGACACGGAGCAAAGAGAAGCCAUCUGCACUAUGCUCUGUCUGAAUCCCUGACUAAUGGAAGCUGUAGGAAAUAACGAUUGCUGAUUAAGCAGGAAGUAACAGGAUGGAGAGGGAGAACCCACCCCAGUGAAACCAAGAGCUUCAAGAGGCUCAAGAGAGGACACAAGAAGAGAGAAUAGCUUUGUUUAUCCUCAUGUGUUGGUGAAGGUUGAUCGUUUGAAGAGAAAGAAGGACUCCAGUAAAAUUCUGGAGUAUUCAAGUGGUUUAAUAAGAUGAUAUUGAAUUCACUGGAAGCAGAGGCUCAGAGAUGUGCGGGAUACUGAUUACGUGCUUCGACUUGGCGAGCCUGGGCCAGGGGACCGGAU
Long non-coding RNA from Choloepus didactylus (southern two-toed sloth), 775 nucleotides. RefSeq lists it as uncharacterized. The record is from RefSeq and is a predicted model, not a curated record. The transcript is spliced from 3 exons. NCBI's taxonomy places the organism in Eukaryota, Metazoa, Chordata, Mammalia, Pilosa, Megalonychidae.